UAUCCUGAUCAGGUAGAUGGGAUUAUAAGUUGAAUACAAAUUUAAUUCAUGGCACUUUUUCACUUACCAAACGAAUGUAUGAGUUCGUUGACAAAAUUGAAAUUAUUGAGAUUCUCAAUGAUUAUAAACACAGUAUAUUAAAACUUGCAGCACCCGGACAUUACGAUGGAUGAACAACUUUGUUUACGUUGUGCACCUAUCCAUUAUUCAUGGUGGUUUACAUUUUGUGUGGUAAACAGUACCACACGCACUAAACAUUGGAUUUAUCAAUAUUGCAUUGAUGUACAUUAUUCCUAAUCUAAAGUAUGGCUCGUUUUCGCAAGCCUUUGGCGGAUUUAAUGGGGGCGCAGCCGGCGCCCCCCCCCCCCUUCCCCUAAAAUUUUUAAAUAUAAAGUAAAUCGUGGUAUCUUGUUUAGAAAAAUUUACUAAAUGAUAAAAGAAGCAAUAGUUUCUUCCACUCCCGGAGAAAUAAAUGACAAAAUCUUUUGAUUUCUUGAAUUAUUUUAUUGCCAAAACUUAAUUUUUUCGAAAAACCCUUAAAAUUUGCUUCAUUUUAUUAAUUUCACCUUAUAAAAAAUGAUAGAAAAUAGUACAAAUGACUAAAUAGGAGACAUAUUUCAAGCCCUAUAAAAGCUGUAAAAUCCAGAAGUUUCCAGGGUUUGGCCUAUUGGGUCCCCACCAAGGCUUCGCCUCAAGGCAGCCCACCCCCUGCCUCAUAAAUUGGCGCUCCCGUAACUGCAAUUCCUGGAUCCGCUCCUGCAAGCUGCCCGUCAAAAAUAAAUUCAGGCGAAAAUUGACAUUUUAACUGAUCAUAUGGCUGUUAUCCGUCGCUACCUUAAUUAUAAUCACUAAGGACAAUGCUCUCACAGUCCUAAAUGAUAAAUGUCUCCAAUCUCUCAAGAAAUAUUACUUUUCUCAAAGUGUAAAAGUAAUUUGAAGAUCAAGUGUGGCUUGCACCUGACAUGGAAGGCGAAGAUAACGAAUACUGAUCAAUUUCAUAAUGGGGUUUAUCUGAUAUGGAUAAACAGGGUUAUUUCGUGCAGCUUUAUCUUGAUUAAUUCGAAAUGCAUCGGGUUCGUCGCACGAUAAUUCUAUUUUUAUUUCUGUGCGCAUGCCAUAGAUUACUCCUUUUCUUUCGUCAUUCGAACAGAGCAGACGUUAAUUUUUUUUUACACCCACGCACCCACCCACCCUCUUCCCUCAAUUUUCAUGUCCCUUAGUAUCUCUGUCAAUUUUGUAAUGAUGUGUGUUCUUCGAUUGUCGUUUCCGGUUUGUUAAUUUCUCAUUUCAGCGUCAUGGCAUCGAUCAAUGCAGGCUGAGGUUCAUCGACUGUGGAUGUGCAUUGCAGACUUCCAAAAAUUCCUGUCCAGAGUAGUUAUUGACUGUUAGAUAUAAUUUUGCAUAUAAUGCUGUCUCCGGGGGUACUGUUUUUUUUUUUCAGGCUCCCUUUGGUCAAGAUGGUAUUUCUAUUGCUUAAUAUCUAUAUUUAUUUAUCUUAUGCUGCCAUAUUAUCAUCAUCGGCGCAUACAUUGUAUUAUAAUUGUACUUUCUCCAAUGUGUCAUUAAAUGGCCAUGACAAGCACGCCAACUGGAGAUUGUGUUUGACUGGAUGGUAUCUAGAAACAAAGUUUCCGCUUUUUGGAGGGCUUUCUGGUCAAGUUGGUGUCUGUUGUCCAUGUGAAGGCAGUAACGAAAUAGCUCUAGUUUUCCAGGUCAACUAUAUGUGAAUGUAGUUAUUUUUUUUAAAUUGUUAUGAAAAAGGUCGAGGUACAAUAGUAUAUGUUAUUUAUGUGGACAAAAUAAUCCAUGAGAUAAAAAGUGAUGGGGGCGAUAGUUUUUCUGAAGAAUUUUUAUUGCAUCUAUGUUAUGUCAAGUUAAAAGAAUUAAAUGCGAUUGAAGUUUAAAAACAACGAGUUCAUAAGUUUUUAUGCAAUGUUUUUUCUACUGCCGAUAUUGAAUCAAUUGUAUGAGGACCCAAAUUCAUAGAUUACCGUGACCUUCACAAUGCGAGUAGGUCAAAGAAUCCUCAUAGCCAGUAAAUAGGUGUAUAGAUUAUCAUCCUAGCGCAGAUCCUAGCACAGAAUCGAUCACACAGCAGAGGUACAUAUAUUUUGGCGAAAAUAAUCGGCUUGUCAUCUUUUGAUAUGGGAAAAAAAUACACUGAGGGAAUAAAAGUCCACUUUGUUCCUGAGAGUGUUCAUCAGAAAAAUCUUAUAACUGAAGAAUGACACUUGAAGUACAUGUUAGAUCCUAUCUUGAAACUGUCCGAAAAGUCAUGUACUUGGUCUCUUAUGAAUAUAAAAUAUGUAUGCUUUUAUUCAAACAUUUGAUUUUUGAAAUUUAUUUAGAAAGAUUAAAGAUUAUGAAAAGGAAAAAAAAUGUGAACAUUACAUAUAUGUAUAAAUCCGUUGUCUUAAGCUACAUACUGAGCUCUAUAUCGGGAUUAUUGAAUUUGUGACAGUUUGUACAUUACAUAUUUUGACACCACCCUUAGAAUAUUAUGCAAUAACUCAGUGUUUAUAUAAUUAUUUAGUAUGAAGGAAAAGUAUGGAACUACAAGUAGAAAACUUAAUAUCCAUUUCUUAUUUAAUGCCAUUUUCCUUGAAAAUUGGCGAAAAAUCGUCCUUUGACAUGCUCCCCUGGGAAACAUUGUCGAUGACCCAUACUUUUUUCUUACAAAUAGUAAGCUUAUUGUCUUUUUAAAAUCAUUCUUCUUUUUUUAAUUUUAACUUUUAUAUAGCACAUUGGAAAUUUCCCUAUAUUUCCUUUGCACUUACGACUACUUUAAAGCCAACUUUUGAAACGCCCCCCGCCGCUGAAAAUCAAAUAUGAUUUUCAUUUGGUUUUUUCUUAUUGAUUUGAACUCAUUAAUGCAUGUUUUACCUUAUAUCAAACUUUGAAUAAAAUGUCUAUUGUAGAAACGAAUUAGGUCCGUCACCCUUAAGUAAAAUAGCACUGGUCGAAAUCGUUUCAUAUCGCCGUUAUGUCUCAGGUUUCGUAACUUCUGCUAUGUACUCAUUGGCUAUCAUAAAAGGUAUAAUUUAUAUUCUGUAUCUACAUUAAUCACGAUAAAAUGAAUUGACAUAUACACAGAGAUCUGAUGGGUAUUUUUCCAAAAUGUACGUUCAACAGGAGAGUUUCAUACGUGAGCAAACGAAGAUAAUCUAAAUGCAUAGACUUUACUUAUUCAAAUUUUAUUCUUUUCAUUUGAAAAAUUGCAGUUUAUUGCCGAAUUUAAUUAGAUGUACCAUGUUGCAUUGUGAUAAAAAUUCACAUAUAAGAUAGGCCUAUAUCUGAUAUGACCUGCUCAAAUGCAUUAAUGUGAAGAAUUAUGCACAUUGAAAUAUUAAGUUUUUUCAGUAUCUAUAUUUCUUGAAGUUUACAAAUCUUCGUCAUUUGUGGAAAUUACUUGUUAAGAUAUCUGUGUGACAUUGAGAUAUCCGUGGGACAUGUUGGUGUUCUGAAAAUACUCUGUAUUUGGUUAAGACAACAACUUUGAUUACUUAGAUUUGAAUUCUAAACUAUUUUUCCUCCUAAAAAUAUUCUUUCUUUCCACAAAGUACUAUAAGGCGAAACUAUUGAUACGAUUGAAGAGGUAUGCAUUCUGGGUUUUGAGUGUGAAUACAUGCACCAUUCAUUCUUAUCAGUCACGUUUAUCCAUAUUAAUCUUCUCCAGAACACCCCAACAAUGGUACUUCUCAUCCACAGCGUCUUUAUUUCAGUAUUGCAUUGUUAUACCCUCGUAUUUGUAUUUCUCUUUAGAUUCCAGAUUCUUGAAUGAUUAACUCCCAGGUGAAGGCUGAAUGCUGAGAAAUUUGUUAUGUAAAUGGAAAUGAUGUUUUGAUUCAAACGUAUUACAUUCUCUAUAUAAUGGAUUUGAAACACUUUGGAUGUCAAAUUUCUUGUGUAUUUAGAAUUAUACAUAUUGCAAAAGCAGUAUUUAUUACGUUAGUUUAUAUGAAAUUUGGAUGUUGUCUAAAGUUGAUCAUGAUAUAAAUAAACAAAGAUUUUUUUAAAUAAAUUGCCUACGAGA
Ostrea edulis (European flat oyster) is the source of this 4033-nucleotide long non-coding RNA. RefSeq lists it as uncharacterized. Lineage: Eukaryota; Metazoa; Mollusca; Bivalvia; Ostreida; Ostreidae. The record is from RefSeq and is a predicted model, not a curated record. The transcript is spliced from 2 exons.